This 447-nucleotide ribosomal RNA is filed under the name uncultured bacterium. RNAcentral describes it as "partial 16S ribosomal RNA". It matches the Rfam family "Bacterial small subunit ribosomal RNA", at positions 29 to 523 of the family's 1533-position model. The record is from RNAcentral.
AGCGAACGCUGGCGGCAGGCCUAACACAUGCAAGUCGAACGAGCCUUCGGGCUAGUGGCGGACGGGUGAGUAACACGUGGGCACGUACCUUUAGGUUCGGAAUAACUCAGGGAAACUUGCGCUAAUACCGGAUGUGCCCUUCGGGGGAAAGAUUUAUCGCCUUUAGAGCGGCCCGCGUUAGAUUAGCUAGUUGGUGGGGUAAUGGCCCACCAAGGCUACGAUCUAUAGCUGGUCUUAGAGGAUGAUCAGCCACACUGGGACUGAGACACGGCCCAGACUCCUACGGGAGGCAGCAGUGGGGAAUCUUGCGCAAUGGGCGAAAGCCUGACGCAGCCAUGCCGCGUGAAUGAUGAAGGUCUUAGGAUUGUAAAAUUCUUUUAGCAGGGACGAUAAUGACGGUACCUGCAGAAAAAGCCCCGGCUAACUUCGUGCCAGCCGCCGCAGUAA